RNAcentral lists this ribosomal RNA (853 nucleotides) under Fomes fomentarius. RNAcentral describes it as "eukaryotic LSU rRNA". It matches the Rfam family "Eukaryotic large subunit ribosomal RNA", at positions 76 to 915 of the family's 3401-position model. The record is from RNAcentral. Lineage: Eukaryota; Fungi; Basidiomycota; Agaricomycetes; Polyporales; Polyporaceae.
UCCCCUAGUAACUGCGAGUGAAGCGGGAAAAGCUCAAAUUUAAAAUCUGGCGGUCUUUGGCCGUCCGAGUUGUAGUCUGGAGAAGUGCUUUCCGCGCUGGACCGUGUACAAGUCUCUUGGAACAGAGCGUCAUAGAGGGUGAGAAUCCCGUCUUUGACACGGACUACCAGUGCUUUGUGAUGCGCUCUCAAAGAGUCGAGUUGUUUGGGAAUGCAGCUCUAAAUGGGUGGUAAAUUCCAUCUAAAGCUAAAUAUUGGCGAGAGACCGAUAGCGAACAAGUACCGUGAGGGAAAGAUGAAAAGCACUUUGGAAAGAGAGUUAAACAGUACGUGAAAUUGCUGAAAGGGAAACGCUUGAAGUCAGUCGCGUUGGCCGGGACUCAGCCUUGCUUUUUGCUUGGUGCAUUUUCCGGUCGACGGGCCAGCAUCGAUUUUGACCGUCGGAAAAGGGCUAGGGAAAUGUGGCACCUUCGGGUGUGUUAUAGUCUCUAGUCGCAUGCGGCGGUUGGGAUCGAGGAACGCAGCGCGCCGCAAGGCAGGGGUUCGCCCACUUUCGCGCUUAGGAUGCUGGCAUAAUGGCUUUAAACGACCCGUCUUGAAACACGGACCAAGGAGUCUAACUUACCUGCGAGUGUUUGGGUGGAAAACCCGAGCGCGUAAUGAAAGUGAAAGUUGAGACCUCUGUCGUGGAGGGCAUCGACGCCCGGACCUGACGUUCUCUGACGGAUCCGCGGUAGAGCAUGUAUGUUGGGACCCGAAAGAUGGUGAACUAUGCCUGAAUAGGGUGAAGCCAGAGGAAACUCUGGUGGAGGCUCGUAGCGAUUCUGACGUGCAAAUCGAUCGUCAAAUUUGGG